UCCUGCCGUUAACAGAGCUCCAACUUGGUCCUUCAUCCAUUGAAUUUUAGCUGGGUUUGGCAGCAUGGUAACAAUUCGCUUUUCCUUGUGUGUGUUUAAAUCCAAACUUUGCUCACACCCGGCUGAACUUAAAGCACAAAACGUUAUACCGUUUUGCAGUUUCAUCUCUUCGAAAAAGGCGAUGUCCUUGUACUUGCAAUAAACAUCAAAAGGAGUUAACAUUUCAUUGUUG
RNAcentral lists this unclassified non-coding RNA (232 nucleotides) under Hevea brasiliensis (rubber tree). The record is from RNAcentral. Lineage: Eukaryota; Viridiplantae; Streptophyta; Magnoliopsida; Malpighiales; Euphorbiaceae.